RNAcentral lists this ribosomal RNA (428 nucleotides) under Bacteroidota bacterium. RNAcentral's name for it is "Bacteroidetes bacterium partial 16S ribosomal RNA". It matches the Rfam family "Bacterial small subunit ribosomal RNA", at positions 355 to 776 of the family's 1533-position model. Lineage: Bacteria; Pseudomonadati; Bacteroidota. The record is from RNAcentral.
UAGGGAAUCUUCCGCAAUGGACGCAAGUCUGACGGAGCAACGCCGCGUGAGUGAAGAAGGAUUUCGGUUCGUAAAACUCUGUUGUUAGAGAAGAACAGCGCAUAGAGUAACUGUUAUGCGUGUGACGGUAUCUAACCAGAAAGCCACGGCUAACUACGUGCCAGCAGCCGCGGUAAUACGUAGGUGGCAAGCGUUGUCCGGAUUUAUUGGGCGUAAAGCGAGCGCAGGCGGUUAGAUAAGUCUGAAGUUAAAGGCAGUGGCUCAACCAUUGUAGGCUUUGGAAACUGUUUAACUUGAGUGCAGAAGGGGAGAGUGGAAUUCCAUGAGUAGCGGUGAAAUGCGUAGAUAUAUGGAGGAACACCGGUGGCGAAAGCGGCUCUCUGGUCUGUAACUGACGCUGAGGCUCGAAAGCGUGGGGAGCGAACAGG